RNAcentral lists this ribosomal RNA (495 nucleotides) under uncultured bacterium. RNAcentral describes it as "partial 16S ribosomal RNA". It matches the Rfam family "Bacterial small subunit ribosomal RNA", at positions 28 to 507 of the family's 1533-position model. The record is from RNAcentral.
GACGAACGCUGGCGGCGUGCCUAAUACAUGCAAGUAGAACGCUGAAGGAGGAGCUUGCUUCUCUGGAUGAGUUGCGAACGGGUGAGUAACGCGUAGGUAACCUGCCUGGUAGCGGGGGAUAACUAUUGGAAACGAUAGCUAAUACCGCAUAAUAGUAGAUGUUGCAUGACAUUUACUUAAAAGGUGCAAUUGCAUCACUACCAGAUGGACCUGCGUUGUAUUAGCUAGUUGGUGGGGUAACGGCUCACCAAGGCGACGAUACAUAGCCGACCUGAGAGGGUGAACGGCCAAACUGGGACUGGGACACGGCCCAGACUCCUACGGGAGGCAGCAGUAGGGAAUCUUCGGCAAUGGACGAAAGGCUGACCGAGCAAAGCCGCGUGAGUGAAGAAGGUUUUCGGAUCGUAAAGCUCUGUUGUAAGAGAAGAACGAGUGUGAGAGUGGAAAGUUCACACUGUGACGGUAUCUUACCAGAAAGGGACGGCUAACUACGUG